GAAAUCAGUUCAGCACUAAGUCACUUUGUCUAUAUGGCAAAUGUGAGAUGCAGUGUAUGGAACAUCAAUAUUCUAGUAUGAGAAAUUAACGAUUUAAGUCCUUCUUAAAUGAGGCCAUUUACCCAUAGAGGGUGCCAGGCCCGUAUAACGUUAAUGAUUAUUAGAUGGUGUUUCCAAAGAGUCGUGUUGCUUGAUAGUGCAGCACUAAGUGGGUGGUAAACUCCAUCUAAAACUAAAUAUAACCAUGAGACCGAUAGUAAACAAGUACCGUGAGGGAAAGUUGAAAAGAACUCUGAAUAGAGAGUUAAAUAGUACGUGAAACUGCUUAGAGGUUAAGCCCGAUGAACCUGAAUAUCCGUUAUGGAAAAUUCAUCAUUAGACUUGUAAUAUUUAAACAAUAUUAUAAAAAUAGUGUGCAUUUUUUCCAUAUAAGGACAUUGUAAUCUAUUAGUUAAAAGUAAUUUAUCAAAAAAUUUUAGAUAAAUGUUUAUUUAAAUUAAGGUGCUUGCAUUUUAACACAAAAUAAAUGUCUUUAAUUUGAUAAAGUGCUGAUAGAUUUAUAUGAAUACAGUGCGUUAAUUUUUCGGAAUUAUAUAAUGGCAUGAUUAUCAUUGAUUUUUGUGUUUAUUAUAUGCACUUGUAUGAUUAACAAUGCGAAAGA
This 661-nucleotide ribosomal RNA is filed under the name Drosophila arawakana. RNAcentral describes it as "eukaryotic LSU rRNA". It matches the Rfam family "Eukaryotic large subunit ribosomal RNA", at positions 100 to 631 of the family's 3401-position model. Lineage: Eukaryota; Metazoa; Arthropoda; Insecta; Diptera; Drosophilidae. The record is from RNAcentral.